UACGGAGGAUGCGAGCGUUAUCCGGAUUCAUUGGGUUUAAAGGGUGCGUAGGCGGUCUAUUAAGUCAGUGGUGAAAUUUUGUGGCUCAACCAUAAGCGUGCCAUUGAAACUGAUAGACUUGAGUGCAGACGAGGCAGGCGGAAUGUAUUAUGUAGCGGUGAAAUGCAUAGAUAUAAUACAGAACCCCGAUAGCGAAGGCAGCUUGCCAGACUGUAACUGACGCUGAUGCACGAAAGCGUGGGUAGCGAACAGG
This 253-nucleotide ribosomal RNA is filed under the name uncultured bacterium. Its description in RNAcentral is "partial 16S ribosomal RNA". It matches the Rfam family "Bacterial small subunit ribosomal RNA", at positions 524 to 776 of the family's 1533-position model. The record is from RNAcentral.